CCCCUUAGAGUUUGAUCAUGGCUCAGAUUGAACGCUGGCGGCAUGCUUUACACAUGCAAGUCGAACGGUAACAGGCCGCAGGGUGCUGACGAGUGGCGAACGGGUGAGUAAUGCAUCGGAACGUGCCCAGUCGUGGGGGAUAACGCAACGAAAGCUGCGCUAAUACCGCAUACGAUCUAUGGAUGAAAGCGGGGGACCGUAAGGCCUCGCGCGAUUGGAGCGGCCGAUGUCAUAUUAGGUAGUUGGUGGGGUAAAGGCUCACCAAGCCAACGAUCUGUAGCUGGUCUGAGAGGACGACCACCCACACUGGGACUGAGACACGGCCCACACUCCUACGGGAGGCAGCAGUGGGGAAUUUUGGACAAUGGGCGCAAGCCUGAUCCAGCAAUGCCGCGUGCAAGAAGAAGGCCUUCGGGUUGUAAACUGCUUUUGUACGGAACGAAAAGGCUCUGGUUAAUACCUGGGGCUCAUGACGGUACCGUAAGAAUAAGCACCGGCUAACUACGUGCCAGCAGCCGCGGUAAUACGUAGGGGUGCAAGCGUUAAUCGGAAUUACUGGGCGUAAAGCGUGCGCAGGGUGGUUUUUGAAAAAACAGGCGUGAAAUCCCCGGGCUCAACCUGAGAAUUGCGCUUGUGACUGCAAGGCUGGAGUGCGGCAAAAGGGGGAAAAGAAAUUCCCGGGGGGAACCAUGGAAAUGCCUUAAUAUGGCGGAAGGAACCCCGGUAGGGCGAAGGCACUCCCCUUGAACCUGUACUGACGCUCAUGCACGAAAGGCGGUGGGGGAGCAAACAAGGAUUAGAUACCGCUGGUACUCCACGCCCUAAACGAUGUCCAACUUGUGUUGUGUGUGAGACGCGUCUUGCCUGUUCAGUACGAAGCUUACGGCGAUGAGUCGACGCCUGGGAGAGUACGGCCGCUAGGAUUGAUCUCAAGUAUCGACGCGUGCCAGCGGAUGAGAUGCAUUGUGAUUCUAAUUACGGA
RNAcentral lists this ribosomal RNA (982 nucleotides) under uncultured bacterium. RNAcentral's name for it is "bacterial SSU rRNA". It matches the Rfam family "Bacterial small subunit ribosomal RNA", at positions 1 to 955 of the family's 1533-position model. The record is from RNAcentral.